CCCUGGGCCGCUGAGUACCCUGGGCCGCUUGGGUGUUUGGUUGAUUCCGGAUUGUACGAAUGAAGGCCGCCUUCUUUUGUGUUCAGCUGAGAGUUGCUCUGCCUUUGAGGUCCCUAAUUAACCUGAGAGUUGCUCUGCCUUUGAGGUCCCUAAUUAACCUGAGAGUUGCUCUGCCUUUGAGGUCCCUAAUUAACCUGAGAGUUGCUCUGCCUUUGAGGUCCCUAAUUAACCUGAGAGUUGCUCUGCCUUUGAGGUCCCUAAUUAACCUGAGAGUUGCUCUGCCUUUGAGGUCCCUAAUUAACCUGAGAGUUGCUCUGCCUUCGAGGUCCCUAAUUAACCUGAGAGUUGCUCUGCCUUUGAGGUCCCUAAUUAACCUGAGAGUUGCUCUGCCUUUGAGGUCCCUAAUUAACCUGAGAGUUGCUCUGCCUUUGAGGUCCCUAAUUAACCUGAGAGUUGCUCUGCCUUUGAGGUCCCUAAUUAACCUGAGAGUUGCUCUGCCUUUGAGGUCCCUAAUUAACCUGAGAGUUGCUCUGCCUUUGAGGUCCCUAAUUAACCUGAGAGUUGCUCUGCCUUUGAGGUCCCUAAUUAACCUGAGAGUUGCUCUGCCUUUGAGGUCCCUAAUUAACCUGAGAGUUGCUCUGCCUUUGAGGUCCCUAAUUAACCUGAGAGUUGCUCUGCCUUUGAGGUCCCUAAUUAACCUGAGAGUUGCUCUGCCUUUGAGGUCCCUAAUUAACCUGAGAGUUGCUCUGCCUUUGA
Molecule: long non-coding RNA, 756 nt
Organism: Oncorhynchus keta (chum salmon)
Lineage: Eukaryota; Metazoa; Chordata; Actinopteri; Salmoniformes; Salmonidae
Exons: 3
Source: RefSeq, a predicted model, not a curated record